GAUUAUGGCUCAGGAUGAACGCUAGCGACAGGCUAACACAUGCAAGUCGAGGGGCAGCACGGGAGUAGCAAUACAACUGGUGGCGACCGGCGCACGGGUGAGUAACGCGUAUGCAACCUACCUAUCGAGAGGGGAAUAACCCGGCGAAAGUCGGACUAAUACCGCAUAAAACAGGGGCACCGCAUGGUGAUAUUUGUUAAAGAAAUUCGCUGAUAGAUGGGCAUGCGUUCCAUUAGGUAGUUGGUGAGGUAACGGCUCACCAAGCCGACGAUGGAUAGGGGAACUGAGAGGUUGGUCCCCCACACUGGUACUGAGACACGGACCAGACUCCUACGGGAGGCAGCAGUGAGGAAUAUUGGUCAAUGGGCGGGAGCCUGAACCAGCCAAGUCGCGUGAAGGAAGAAGGAUCUAUGGUUCGUAAACUUCUUUUGCAGGGGAAUAAAGUGCAGGACGUGUCCUGUUUUGUAUGUACCCUGAGAAUAAGGAUCGGCUAACUCCGUGCCAGCAGCUGC
RNAcentral lists this ribosomal RNA (512 nucleotides) under uncultured bacterium. RNAcentral describes it as "bacterial SSU rRNA". It matches the Rfam family "Bacterial small subunit ribosomal RNA", at positions 15 to 518 of the family's 1533-position model. The record is from RNAcentral.